Passer domesticus (house sparrow) is the source of this 1812-nucleotide long non-coding RNA. RefSeq lists it as uncharacterized. Lineage: Eukaryota; Metazoa; Chordata; Aves; Passeriformes; Passeridae. The transcript has 2 exons. The record is from RefSeq and is a predicted model, not a curated record.
AGUAAGCUGUGAGGCCGGCCUCGCCAGGAGCUGCGGAUGCCGCAGGAUCACAGAAUUAUCUGUGUUGGGAAAGAGCUCAAAGAUCAGCCAGCCCGGCUGUUGGGCCAGCACUGCCAAACCCGCCAGUAAAACCACAUUCCCAAGUGCUGCGUACUUCUGACUGUAACAUCCUCCCCUGUCACCUGUGACUCAGUGUCUGCGACCUGCAGUACUCCAACCAUUUCAAGAUUUAUAGCUAUUAUCUCUCUUCUUUAAAUGCUUAUUCCUAGUAAGGAUAGCUGUUAAAGUGUACAUACACUUGAGACACACUUAAAGCACUACACAAGGUUUUGUUGUUGCUCAUCCUCUCAUCCCUCUUUAUUUCCUCAACCGUCUCUACCCUACUCUACAUAUCACAGCUAGCCACCACUUUCUUCACAGAGUUUCUUUCUACUCAUGCCUGAAGAAUCUGCAAGAAUGUGAAAGAAAACAACACUUACACCUCCUGCCACUUCAGACCCUCCUCUACAGAGCACCUGUUGUCCUCCUGACUAGAAUGCUGAAUGCAUGGCUGGUGACUUACAUCUAUAUUUCCCCAGAGCUCUGGUUGUUAUCUUGUCAGAUCACAUCUUACAAGUAUUCUCUGGUUAAAUUCACUGCUAGGCUGUUAUCAAGAUGUUAACAACAUCUGAAUGUUGUUACCUGGUUUACAGAAGUUUCCUUACAUCUUAUAAUAGUAAACCUCUUCCAACGGGGAACAUUCAGUGUUUGGAAAGAUUAUGAAGCGUUCCUCUGUAGGUCAAAGUCUUCAGAAUAUUUGUCUGCAGAUAUAAAUUAUCAAUUAUCAUUGGGCACGCUUAGGACUUAAGCCCAAGCUGGAGACAUCAGCCCUGCUGCCUAUUCAGAACACACUUGUGGCACUAGUACUGGCAUGAGUUAAUCAAAAAUCCAUCCUGACUCAGUGCAGAUUAAGCAACACAUUGGAAAUAAUAGUAAUAAACCAAAUGAAUUCACAACCUUCAACUUUUACAUCACGUGAAUCAGCUGCACACAAACAUAAUUUUAAUCAACGUGAAUGUAUCACCUUCUCAGGCAAUAAGAAAAGCAGAGAUUUUUAAGAGACUUUAUUAAUUACCAGUUUACACUUGUUUUACUCAACUUGUUCAGCCUUCAAAACAUGUUACAAAUCCCUUCAAUGGAAAAUCCAGAUUUUGCAGGGUGGUGAAGAAGACAGAAGAAGGAAAGAGAACUUGCUGCUUGUUCCACUGACCUAUUUACAAAGUCCCUCAGGUCUGCUGCAUCAGCAGUUACUUCUAAGAAUGCUGUGACUGCCAGGCUGAGUGGUGAGAAUAUUAAAUUCUGUCACAAGGGCCACACAGCUUCAUUAACUACCACUGAAAACUUUACCCAAGGUGUCUUUUCAGUUUACAGGUGCCCUCCCCAGGGUCCAGGCCCUGCUCUGCCAUGCUACACAUCUUGCUGCUUAGCUUGGCAGGUUCUGGCUGCAAUUCUCUGUCUGCAAGCAGAAAAAGGGAGAGAUGCAUAUCUAGCUGUAGACAAAAAAUUAGACUUUCUGUACAAAGCCUUUAGAUCCCUAUUCAUACUUAAAGUAGAAGAAAUUUUAAGCUAUAAUUGACAGACAUUAUUUUUGCUAUUAUAGCUCUCAUUGUAAGGAAAUUUAAAUAAUGAAGCUAGAGAAUAUCUGCCCCAAUAACUAUAACACAGCAAGAUUAACUCACUCCCUCAAAACUCAUUGGAAGAAAACAUUUGGGGCUUUAGGUCUGAUUUUUUUUAAUUCAAAAAAGAGGCAGGCUCAGCAGGAAGAGGCAGGGU